RNAcentral lists this ribosomal RNA (460 nucleotides) under uncultured bacterium. RNAcentral describes it as "SSU rRNA". It matches the Rfam family "Bacterial small subunit ribosomal RNA", at positions 26 to 518 of the family's 1533-position model. The record is from RNAcentral.
AGAAUCAACGCUGGCGGCGUGCCUAACACAUGCAAGUCGCACGAGAAAGGGGAGCAAUCCCUGAGUACAGUGGCGCACGGGUGAGUAACACGUGAAUCAUCUACCUCCGAGUGGGGAAUAACCUAGAGAAAUCUGGGCUAAUACCGCAUAACACUUACGAGUCAAAGCAGCAAUGCGCUUGGAGAGGAGUUCGCGGCCGAUUAGCUAGUUGGCGGGGUAAUGGCCCACCAAGGCGAUGAUCGGUAUCCGGCCUGAGAGGGCGCACGGACACACUGGAACUGAAACACGGUCCAGACUCCUACGGGAGGCAGCAGUGGGGAAUUUUGCGCAAUGGGGGAAACCCUGACGCAGCAACGCCGCGUGGAGGAUGAAAUCCCUUGGGAUGUAAACUCCUUUCGAUAGGGAAGAUAAUGACGGUACCUAUAGAAGAAGCCCCGGCUAACUUCGUGCCAGCAGCCGC